This is a long non-coding RNA of Hevea brasiliensis (rubber tree), 946 nucleotides long. RefSeq lists it as uncharacterized. The record is from RefSeq and is a predicted model, not a curated record. The transcript is spliced from 4 exons. Lineage: Eukaryota; Viridiplantae; Streptophyta; Magnoliopsida; Malpighiales; Euphorbiaceae.
AAGUUCUCAACCGGUCCAACUGCUUCCUACCCAAAAAAGCAACCUAUUUCCCCCACCGAAGAAAAAAAUAUCAAUAGGAAAACAAUCUCUGAGCUUAAGAAUAUCAAUCCAAAUCAAAAUAAGAAAGCAUUCUUCACUUGUCAAGCUGAGAUCAUUAAAUUUGAUGAGACACAAGGAUGGUUCUACAAGACAUGUCCACAAUGUUUUGUGCGGGCAAAAAUUGCUGGACCUCAAUGGUGGUGUUCUAAACAUGGUUAUUUCUCAAACCCACCAACACCUCGGUAUUGUUUGGUUUGCCAUAUAAAAGAUGAAACAGGGCAGACUCCCAUUUAUUUAUUUGGUAGGGUUGCUCAUGCCUUAGAUGGUGUAUCAUGUGCAACAAUCACAAAAGAUCUUGACAAUGUCCAUGAACAAUGCAUCCCACCACCAUUAAGCAAUAUGAUUGGCUCAACAAGAAUUUUUCAGCUACACUACAGUUCAAAUUUAGCUUGACCAUACCUUAUUGCUUCAAAGGUCUAUAAUGAUGACAUAAUUUCAACCAAUGAUUAUUCUCAAUCUCAACCCCUACAGCUUACUAACUCAUCUCCACCACUAGCACACAACGCAGUAGAAACAAUUUCUCCUUCACCCAACCAUGAAGAAGUAACUAAAGAACUUACUUUUCCACUGAAAAGAAAACUCUUCACUUCUUCCAUUCAGAUCAAGGAGGAAAAAUCCAGCACACAACAGCUAAAGGAGAAGAAGCUCAAAUUAGAUUGAAAAGACCUCAACAAUCUUGGUUUGUGCAAUUGGAGAAGAAAUGUUAACUCUAUUUUGCAAACAAAUUAAACGGCUACCUAACUAUAUAUAAGAUAUGUAUCACGCCUCAUUUUGUAGACCUUAUUAGUACCCUAGUAUUGGUGUGCAUACAUAUUUAUAUAGUUGUACAUAUUAUUCGGACACUAUU